UACGUAGGGUGCAAGCGUUUGUCCGGAAUUAUUGGGCGUAAAGAGCUCGUAGGCGGUUUGUAGCGUCUGCUGUGAAAACGCGAGGCUCAACCUCGCGCCUGCAGUGGGUACGGGCAGACUAGAGUGUGGUAGGGGGAGACUGGAAUUCCUGGUGUAGCGGUGAAAUGCGCAGAUAUCAGGAAGAACACCAAUGGCGAAAGCAGCUCUCUGGGACGGUACUGACGCUGAGGAGCGAAAAGCGUGGGUAGCAAACAGG
Molecule: ribosomal RNA, 256 nt
Filed under: uncultured bacterium
Lineage: Bacteria
Description: partial 16S ribosomal RNA
Rfam family: Bacterial small subunit ribosomal RNA
Source: RNAcentral